GAUGAAGAACGCAGCGAAAUGCGAUAAGUAAUGUGAAUUGCAGAAUUCAGUGAAUCAUCGAAUCUUUGAACGCACAUUUCGCCCGCCAGUAUUCUGGCGGGCAUGCCUGUUCGAGCGUCAUUUCAACCCUCAGGCCCCCAGUGCCUGGUGUUGGGGAUCGGCCCAGCCUUCCUGUAAGGCCGCCGGCCCCGAAAUCUAGUGGCGGUCUCGCUGUAGUCCUCCUCUGCGUAGUAGCACAACCUCGCAGUUGGAACGCGGCGGUGGCCAUGCCGUUAAACACCCCACUUCUGAAAGUUGACCUCGGAUCAGGUAGGAAUACCCGCUGAACUUAAGCAUAUCAAUAAGCGGAGGA
This 352-nucleotide unclassified non-coding RNA is filed under the name soil metagenome. RNAcentral describes it as "partial contains 5.8S ribosomal RNA, internal transcribed spacer 2, and large subunit ribosomal RNA". The stretch from base 1 to 120 matches the Rfam family "5.8S ribosomal RNA", at positions 35 to 154 of the family's 154-position model. The record is from RNAcentral.